This 1330-nucleotide ribosomal RNA is filed under the name uncultured bacterium. Its description in RNAcentral is "bacterial SSU rRNA". It matches the Rfam family "Bacterial small subunit ribosomal RNA", at positions 43 to 1395 of the family's 1533-position model. The record is from RNAcentral.
CAGGCCUAACACAUGCAAGUUAAGCUGACGAGUGGCGAACGGGUGAGUAAUGUAUCGGAACGUGCCCAGUCGUGGGGGAUAACUGCUCGAAAGAGCAGCUAAUACCGCAUACGACCUGAGGGUGAAAGCGGGGGAUCGCAAGACCUCGCGCGAUUGGAGCGGCCGAUAUCAGAUUAGGUAGUUGGUGAGGUAAAGGCUCACCAAGCCGACGAUCUGUAGCUGGUCUGAGAGGACGACCAGCCACACUGGGACUGAGACACGGCCCAGACUCCUACGGGAGGCAGCAGUGGGGAAUUUUGGACAAUGGGCGCAAGCCUGAUCCAGCCAUGCCGCGUGCGGGAAGAAGGCCUUCGGGUUGUAAACCGCUUUUGUCAGGGAAGAAAAGGUUCUGGCUAAUACCUGGGACUCAUGACGGUACCUGAAGAAUAAGCACCGGCUAACUACGUGCCAGCAGCCGCGGUAAUACGUAGGGUGCAAGCGUUAAUCGGAAUUACUGGGCGUAAAGCGUGCGCAGGCGGUUAUGCAAGACAGAGGUGAAAUCCCCGGGCUCAACCUGGGAACUGCCUUUGUGACUGCAUGGCUAGAGUACGGUAGAGGGGGAUGGAAUUCCGCGUGUAGCAGUGAAAUGCGUAGAUAUGCGGAGGAACACCGAUGGCCAAGGCUAUCCCCUGGACCUGUACUGACGCUCAUGCACGAAAGCGUGAUGAGCAAACAGGAUUAGAUACCCCUGGUAGUCCACGCCCUAAACGAUGUCAACUGGUUGUUGGGAGGGUUUCUUCUCAGUAACGUAGCUAACGCGUGAAGUUGACCGCCUGGGGAGUACGGCCGCAAGGUUGAAACUCAAAGGAAUUGACGGGGACCCGCACAAGCGGUGGAUGAUGUGGUUUAAUUCGAUGCAACGCGAAAAACCUUACCUACCCUAGACAUGUCUGGAAUCCUGAAGAGAUUUGGGAGUGCUCGAAAGAGAGCCAGAACACAGGUGCUGCAUGGCCGUCGUCAGCUCGUGUCGUGAGAUGUUGGGUUAAGUCCCGCAACGAGCGCAACCCUUGUCAUUAGUUGCAACGAAAGGGCACUCUAAUGAGACUGCCGGUGACAAACCGGAGGAAGGUGGGGAUGACGUCAGGUCAUCAUGGCCCUUAUGGGUAGGGCUACACACGUCAUACAAUGGCCGGGACAGAGGGCUGCCAACCCGCGAGGGGGAGCUAAUCCCAGAAACCCGGUCGUAGUCCGGAUCGUAGUCUGCAACUCGACUGCGUGAAGUCGGAAUCGCUAGUAAUCGCGGAUCAGCUUGCCGCGGUGAAUACGUUCCCGGGCCUUGUACACACCGCCC